RNAcentral lists this transfer RNA (71 nucleotides) under Careproctus rastrinus. Its description in RNAcentral is "tRNA-Gly". It matches the Rfam family "tRNA". Rfam says of the family: Transfer RNA (tRNA) molecules are approximately 80 nucleotides in length. Their secondary structure includes four short double-helical elements and three loops (D, anti-codon, and T loops). The record is from RNAcentral. Lineage: Eukaryota; Metazoa; Chordata; Actinopteri; Perciformes; Liparidae. RNAcentral also lists the same sequence under 3 other names.
AUUUUUCUAGUACUAUAACAGUAUAAGUGACUUCCAAUCACCUGGUCCUGGUUAAAACCCAGGGAAAAAUA